Acinonyx jubatus (cheetah) is the source of this 774-nucleotide long non-coding RNA. RefSeq lists it as uncharacterized. The record is from RefSeq and is a predicted model, not a curated record. Lineage: Eukaryota; Metazoa; Chordata; Mammalia; Carnivora; Felidae. The transcript has 3 exons.
CCAGGCUUGGCCCUCGGAAGCAAGACACAAGCACAGGCUAGAGGAGCACUUGUGCUCUUGAAAAGAUGGAGAAUGAGAGGCCGACGUGAACAUGACAGCCCCAGUCAAGCUCCAAGCUGAACGAGGCUGCAAGUAUGACCUCAGCUUCCCCCACGCAGCGAAGAACCACCACCCUACUGAGCCCCAUCAACCUCCACAGUAGCCGGCUGUCAUUUCCUGAAACACAUGCUUGCUCCUGCCAAAGCCUUUGCACCUGUGGUCUCUUCUUCCUAGAAUGUUCUACUCAACCCCUGGAAGAAGUUGGAGAAUAAGGAAGUUAAGAAGUAAUGCAGUUGCUAUGACCACACGUUGGAACUUGUAGUGCCAGGCAAUCUACAAUGUUGACAGCUACUGAUUGGCCUCUGUCACCCCCAAACUGCUCCAGUGCAUGUAACCUCGUUAGUGACAACAGGAUCUUUUUGGUUAAGAAUCAGAGUUUUCGCAAGAACACAGACGAAAUGGACAUUGCUUGAGAUAAAAACCAUGUUCUAGAAUUGAACAUCUGUUUAAUUCCCAGGCUUAUAAUUCUAUUUCAAAUAAAUACAGAACAUAUUCUCACAUCUGUCUGCAUUAACGAUAAAAUAUGAAGUCAAUUGGAGACAGCUGCCUGGCUCAGUCAGUUAAGCAUCUGGCUUCGGCUCAGGUCAUGAUCUCACGGUUCAUGAGUUCGAGCUGCAUUGGGCUCUCUGCCAUCAGUGCAGAGCCUGCUUCAGAUUCUCCGUGUGUCUCUCUCUC